Long non-coding RNA from Mus musculus (house mouse), 277 nucleotides. RefSeq annotates it as predicted gene, 33341. The transcript is spliced from 3 exons. NCBI's taxonomy places the organism in Eukaryota, Metazoa, Chordata, Mammalia, Rodentia, Muridae. The record is from RefSeq and is a predicted model, not a curated record.
UGUCACUGCUCACCUCUGCUGCACUCUGAAGAUGAUAAACUGGGGAGACCCAGAUUGCAGACCAGCAACCUGGGGAAGCCGUCCGGGUCCUCUCCAUGAUGGAUCGUCUUCCCCCUUCAUCAUUCCAAGCCAUGUUGAUUCUCCCGCACUCUAGCUGAUGUGAGAACGAGUUAUACAGGCAUUCAGCCACUCCUGCCGGCCAUAGCUUCUGGCCCAGCACCAGGGACCACGCUGCAAUUAGCCUCUGGGUUUGGCAUCUUGUGCCAGGUGAUGGUGA